This 232-nucleotide long non-coding RNA is filed under the name Brachypodium distachyon (stiff brome). Its description in RNAcentral is "long non-coding RNA (BDIS_LNC005104)". Lineage: Eukaryota; Viridiplantae; Streptophyta; Magnoliopsida; Poales; Poaceae. The record is from RNAcentral.
CACAAUCCUAGCCGGCCCAGAGAUACAAACUACAAGGCCCAACAUCCCAAAUACCCUUCAUCUUUUUAUUUUUAUUUUCUUUCUUAAUUACCGAAACUCGCAUGAGACCUGUAUCUUAUGUUUUGCAGGGAAUCAAGGUAGGGCGGGCGCCCGACCUCGCCCUACCAGGAGCUCUGCCCAUGAAAAUGCUUUCAUUAAGAUGAGAAAACCAAAUACAUCACACAGGGAACCA